This is a long non-coding RNA of Vidua chalybeata, 555 nucleotides long. RefSeq lists it as uncharacterized. The record is from RefSeq and is a predicted model, not a curated record. The transcript is spliced from 3 exons. NCBI's taxonomy places the organism in Eukaryota, Metazoa, Chordata, Aves, Passeriformes, Viduidae.
AAGAGGUUGAUAGGAGGAAGAGUGCAGCUGUGGACCCCGCCAGAGCAUGAAGAUCUGUAGGAUCCAUUUGGAGAGGGGCACAACUGAAUCCAGCAUCUCCCUGGUGUGGGAAGCACUGACCACGUCCAAUCCUCAGCACCUAAAAGUUGUGGGGGGAGCCUUGUGCUAACAAUGCCAUGAUUCUAAUCUCGUUCAUCUGGACACCUUUCCAAAGGCCUGAUCCUGGCUGAUCUUCACCCAUGGAGAAGCUGUAAGAAGCAGUCAACAAGAGACCAAGCUGUGGCUGGACACAGCCUAUGCACAGGAAAAAAAAAAAGUGACCCAUCCUCUCCUGGGUCAUGAGAAUAUAUUACACACUUGAGGCAUGGACCCUGCAGUAGAGACCUGCCCAGCUGCUGCUGAACCAGGGAAGACACUUCAGCUGCUGACUUUAGGACAAGUCAAAUCAGGUCCUUUACUACAAUCCACCCAUGAGAUGCUGUCUCCUUGUACUCCCUUCCUGCCCCAUGUGGGAAUUUAUUUCUUGUAAACUCUUAUUGUCAUAAUAGUGACAUU